This 497-nucleotide ribosomal RNA is filed under the name uncultured bacterium. RNAcentral's name for it is "partial 16S ribosomal RNA". It matches the Rfam family "Bacterial small subunit ribosomal RNA", at positions 28 to 507 of the family's 1533-position model. The record is from RNAcentral.
GAUGAACGCUGGCGGCGUGCCUAAUACAUGCAAGUCGAGCGAACUGACGAAGAGCUUUCUCCUCUGACGUUAGCGGCGGACUGGUGCGUAACACGUGAAUAACCUACCGAUAACACUGGGAUAACUUCGGGAAACCGAUGCUAUAACCGGAGAACUUGUAAAACCGCAGGGGUAAAUCUUGCAAUAGGCUUUGGCUGUCACUUAUAGAUGGUUCCGAGCCGCGUUAGCUAGUGGGUAAGGGAAAGGCUCACGAAGGCGACGAUGCGUAGCCCACCUGAGAGGGUGAUCAGCCACCCUGGAACUGAGACACGGACCAAACGACCACGGAAGCGAGCCGUAGGGAAUCUGCCGGCAAGGGCGAAGGCCUGACGGCGAAAGGCCGAGGGAGGGACGAAGGACUUCGGAUCGUAAAACUAUGUUAUUAGGGAAGAAAAAAUGUGUAAGUAACUAUGCCCGUAUUGACGGUACCUAAUCAGAAAGCCACGGCUAACUACGUG